AAACCACAUGAUGAAUUUGGAUUUACAAUACUCACGACGGUCGUCUGAGAUUCACUUGAUGCAUUGAUCCUAUAUUUCUGAUGGUU
Cicer arietinum (chickpea) is the source of this 86-nucleotide non-coding RNA. The record is from Rfam. Lineage: Eukaryota; Viridiplantae; Streptophyta; Magnoliopsida; Fabales; Fabaceae.